UGGGGAAUAUUGGACAAUGGGCGCAAGCCUGACCCAGCAACGCCGCGUGAAGGAUGAAGUAUUUCGGUAUGUAAACUUCGAAAGAAUAGGAAGAAUAAAUGACGGUACUAUUUAUAAGGUCCGGCUAACUACGUGCCAGCAGCCGCGGUAAUACGUAGGGAGCAAGCGUUGUUCGGAUUUACUGGGCGUAAAGGGCGCGUAGGCGGCGCGGUAAGUCACUUGUGAAAUCUCUGAGCUUAACUCAGAACGGCCAAGUGAUACUGCAGUGCUAGAGUGCAGAAGGGGCAAUCGGAAUUCUUGGUGUAGCGGUGAAAUGCGUAGAUAUCGGGAGGAACACCUGUGGCGAAGGCGGCCACCUGGUUGGAUACUGACGCUGAGACGCGAAAGCGUGGGGAGCAAACAGGAUUAGAUACCCCCGUAGUCCCUGAGCGGGCUGGCAAGGCGCAU
RNAcentral lists this ribosomal RNA (447 nucleotides) under uncultured bacterium. Its description in RNAcentral is "bacterial SSU rRNA". It matches the Rfam family "Bacterial small subunit ribosomal RNA", at positions 355 to 825 of the family's 1533-position model. The record is from RNAcentral.